CUCGGGCAAAAAUACCUGUGGAUGUGGGCCAGAGCCCUGGCCUAUGGGGAUCCCAGUCUUAGUUAAAGUUCAGGUUGUGGCUGUGUCGGUCGGUAACUCUGCUGGCCGCCUGGAGACAAAUUCCAGAGCAUUCGUAGUGACCCAGUUUGGAGGGUGUAUGGGGUUCGCUGGAGGCUUAGACAAGUUAGGCACGUCCAGGGGAGGUCUAGAUGCCUCAGGGCCUCUGUUGCCUCCUGCAGGGACCAAAAGAUGAGAGUAGUGUCGCCUUUGGUGACCUGCAGGGUGUGCACAGGGCCCCAGC
This is a non-coding RNA of Pelobates cultripes (western spadefoot toad), 301 nucleotides long. The record is from the annotation of a GenBank genome assembly. Lineage: Eukaryota; Metazoa; Chordata; Amphibia; Anura; Pelobatidae.